Molecule: ribosomal RNA, 397 nt
Filed under: uncultured bacterium
Lineage: Bacteria
Description: partial 16S ribosomal RNA
Rfam family: Bacterial small subunit ribosomal RNA
Source: RNAcentral
AUACGUAGGGGGCGAGCGUUGUCCGGAAUGAUUGGGCGUAAAGGGCGCGUAGGCGGCCUGUUAAGUCUGGAGUGAAAGUCCUGUUUUCAAGAUGGGAAUUGCUUUGGAUACUGAUGGGCUUGAGUGCAGGAGAGGUUAUCGGAAUUCCCGGUGUAGCGGUGAAAUGCGUAGAGAUCGGGAGGAACACCAGUGGCGAAGGCGGGUAACUGGACUGCAACUGACGCUGAGGCGCGAAAGUGUGGGGAGCAAACAGGAUUAGAUACCCUGGUAGUCCACACUGUAAACGAUGAAUGCUAGGUGUAAGAGGUAUCGACCCCUUUUGUGCCGGAGUUAACACAUUAAGCAUUCCGCCUGGGGAGUACGGCCGCAAGGUUGAAACUCAAAUGAAUUGGCGGGG